RNAcentral lists this ribosomal RNA (253 nucleotides) under uncultured bacterium. RNAcentral's name for it is "partial 16S ribosomal RNA". It matches the Rfam family "Bacterial small subunit ribosomal RNA", at positions 524 to 776 of the family's 1533-position model. The record is from RNAcentral.
UACGUAGGGUGCAAGCGUUGUCCGGAAUUAUUGGGCGUAAAGAGCUCGUAGGCGGUCUGUCACGUCGGACGUGAAAAUCCAGGGCUCAACCCUGGACCUGCGUUCGAUACGGGCAGACUAGAGUUCGGUAGGGGAGACUGGAAUUCUUGGUGUAGCGGUGAAAUGCGUAGAUAUCAAGAGGAACACCUGAGGUGAAGACAGGUUGCUGGGCCAACACUGACGCUGAGGCGCGAAAGCCAGGGGAGCAAACGGG